Molecule: ribosomal RNA, 494 nt
Filed under: uncultured bacterium
Lineage: Bacteria
Description: SSU rRNA
Rfam family: Bacterial small subunit ribosomal RNA
Source: RNAcentral
AGGACGAACGCUGGCGGCGUGCUUAACACAUGCAAGUGGAGCGACGAACCAGGGCUUGCCCUGGGGCAGAGCCGCGAACGGGUGAGUAACACGUGGGUUACCUGCCUCGAUGACCGGGACAACCCGAGGAAACUCGGGCUAAUACCGGAUGUGCCCGUAAGGGGAAAGGAAGCUUCGGCCUCCGCAUCGAGAUGGGCCCGCGGCCCAUUAGCUUGUUGGUGAGGUAACGGCUCACCAAGGCUUCGAUGGGUAGCUGGUCUGAGAGGACGAUCAGCCACACUGGGACUGAGACACGGCCCAGACUCCUACGGGAGGCAGCAGUGGGGAAUCUUGCGCAAUGCGCGAAAGCGUGACGCAGCAACGCCGCGUGGGGGAAGAAGGCUUUCGGGUUGUAAACCCCUUUCAGUUGGGACGAAGCUUCUCCGGUGAAUAGCCGGACGGAGUGACGGUACCUUCACAAGAGCACCGGCUAACUACGCGCCAGCAGCCGCGGU